Molecule: unclassified non-coding RNA, 786 nt
Filed under: Rhipicephalus microplus (southern cattle tick)
Lineage: Eukaryota; Metazoa; Arthropoda; Arachnida; Ixodida; Ixodidae
Description: uncharacterized LOC119163864, transcript variant X1
Source: RNAcentral
AGUAGUAGAACCAGUAGCAGCUGCAUGCCCGGAUGGAGUGACUCAGGAAUGUCAACCCGAUGCCUUUUGAGUUGGCCGUUCAGGCAGUUCCGCCGACUGUAUAAAAAGAGACGACCUCGUCGCUUGUCCUCUUCUCUUUUCCUUCGGGCAUCGGCGACAACGUUAACGGACGACGUGUUAGACUUCACCGUGCACCAUGCCAAAGCUUUUUGCUGUCGUGACGUUUCCCGAAGAACAAGAUAAAGUGGCCGUUGUGCCACUCUCAUGGCUAACGGAAGACCGGGCCCAGUGCCACUGGCCACCAAAGAGGAGGGGUGUUCGGGUAGAAGACUUGCUUCGAGACCGGGUGGACCCAACUGCAGCCUGGCAAAAGUACCCAGUUUUUCUUGUGGCUCGUUGCAGCACUCUUGAGAAAGCCGAGCGCCGUGCCACUGGUGCACUGUACGGCCUAGCGGCAGACGCAACGGAGCAAUCAGCUGUGUUGCUACGGAUCCUGCGCGUCCAACUUGGCGUCCGGCAGCAACAAAGAGAGCUUCUGCAGGAAGUGCGACAGCUGAGGCACGAGUUACGGCUCUUGUCCGAGAGUGGAUGUUUUAUCGACUCUUGACCGGAGCUGUACCGUGCCUCAGCACGCCCAGCCAGCACAGCCCCCUGCUGACCUUCCCCGGCUGCCUGCUGGUACAGUUGGAGAAGUGGAGGCAGCAGAGGCAGCUGUGCAGAGUGAAGCUGUGGCUGCAGCUUUGAUGUCAUCUGCCAAAAAGCAGGGUGUGACCAGGCGGAGGCCCU